RNAcentral lists this ribosomal RNA (478 nucleotides) under uncultured bacterium. RNAcentral's name for it is "partial 16S ribosomal RNA". It matches the Rfam family "Bacterial small subunit ribosomal RNA", at positions 28 to 523 of the family's 1533-position model. The record is from RNAcentral.
GACGAACGCUGGCGGCGUGCUUAACACAUGCAAGUCGAACGGUAAGGCCCUUCGGGGUACACGAGUGGCGAACGGGUGAGUAACACGUGGGUGAUCUGCCCUGCACUUCGGGAUAAGCCUGGGAAACUGGGUCUAAUACCGGAUAGGACUCCGGACUGCAUGGUCUGGGGUGGAAAGCUUUUGCGGUGUGGGAUGGGCCCGCGGCCUAUCAGCUUGUUGGUGGGGUGAUGGCCGACCAAGGCGACGACGGGUAGCCGGCCUGAGAGGGUGACCGGCCACACUGGGACUGAGAUACGGCCCAGACUCCUACGGGAGGCAGCAGUGGGGAAUAUUGCACAAUGGGCGCAAGCCCGAUGCAGCGACGCCGCGUGAGGGAUGACGGCCUUCGGGUUGUAAACCUCUUUCAGCACAGACGAAGCGCAAGUGACGGUAUGUGCAGAAGAAGGACCGGCCAACUACGUGCCAGCCGCCGCCGUAA